UGAUCCUAACUGGCAGUUCGACCGAGAGAACCUUCGGGUCCUCUAGUGGGCGAACGGGUGAGUAACACGUAGGGAACCCGCCCGCGCACCGGGAAUACGCUCUGGAAACGGAGAACAAAUCCCGAUGUACAGGAAGGAGGCAUCUUCUUCUCUGUGAAACAUCCUUUAGGGGAUGGGGCGCGGAUGGACCUGCGGUGCAUUAGUUGGUUGGCGGGGUAAAGGCCCACCAAGACGAUGAUGCAUAGCCGGCCUGAGAGGGCGGACGGCCACAUUGGGACUGAGACACGGCCCAGACUCCUGCGGGAGGCAGCAGUAGGGAAUUUUCGUCAAUGGGCGCAAGCCUGAACGAGCGAUGCCGCGUGAGUGAAGAAGGCCUUCGGGUCGUAAAGCUCUGUUGCGGGGGAAAAAAGGCAGCAUCAGGAAAUGGGUGCUGACUGAUGGUGCCCCGCCAGAAAGUCACGGCUAACUACGUGCCAGCAGCCGCGGUAAUACGUAGGUGGCGAGCGUUAUCCGGAAUGAUUGGGCGUAAAGGGUGCGCAGGCGGUCCUGCAAGUCUGGAGUGAAACGCAUGAGCUCAACUCAUGCAUGGCUUUGGAAACUGGAGGACUGGAGAGCAGGAGAGGGCGGUGGAACUCCAUGUGUAGCGGUAAAAUGCGUAGAUAUAUGGAAGAACACCAGUGGCGAAGGCGGCCGCCUGGCCUGUUGCUGACGCUGAGGCACGAAAGCGUGGGGAGCAAAUAGGAUUAGAUA
RNAcentral lists this ribosomal RNA (750 nucleotides) under uncultured bacterium. Its description in RNAcentral is "bacterial SSU rRNA". It matches the Rfam family "Bacterial small subunit ribosomal RNA", at positions 45 to 784 of the family's 1533-position model. The record is from RNAcentral.